AUGCAUGUCUAAGUUCACACCCUCGUACGGUGAAACCGCGAAUGGCUCAUUAAAUCAGUCGAGGUUCCUUAGAUGAUCCAAAUUUACUUGGAUAACUGUGGUAAUUCUAGAGCUAAUACAUGCYGAACAGCUCCGACCCUUCGGGGAAAGAGCGCUUUUAUUAGUUCAAAACCAGUCGGGUUCCGCCCGUCCUUUGGUGACUCUGGAUAACUUUGUGCCGAUCGCAUGGCCUCGAGCCGGCGACGCAUCUUUCAAAUGUCUGCCCUAUCAAAUGACGAUGGUACGUGAUCUGCCUACCAUGUUAGCAACGGGUAGCGGGGAAUCAGGGUUCGAUUCCGGAGAGGGAGCAUGAGAAACGGCUACCACA
RNAcentral lists this ribosomal RNA (367 nucleotides) under Raphitomidae sp. USNM IZ 1448102. RNAcentral describes it as "SSU rRNA". Lineage: Eukaryota; Metazoa; Mollusca; Gastropoda; Neogastropoda; Raphitomidae. The record is from RNAcentral.